AUUCAGAGUAUCUGAGAAUUCGACAGAUCAAGAUCGAAGGAGUUCGAUCAGCAUCGGUCGUCAAAAAGGCUCUGCAACGAACUAGCAUUCGUGAGGAGCUGAUCAAAUCGGAAGCUUCGUGUGGACGAUCCGCAGAGGUCAGACACACUGUGUGGCUGUAUUGCAAUGAUCAGACCCUCCCGACGGUGAUCAGAUUGCGGC
Molecule: long non-coding RNA, 201 nt
Filed under: Elaeis guineensis (African oil palm)
Lineage: Eukaryota; Viridiplantae; Streptophyta; Magnoliopsida; Arecales; Arecaceae
Description: long non-coding RNA (EGUI_LNC037583)
Source: RNAcentral